UGCUCUCAUCGGCUAGAGGCCUAGGCCACGACCCUUUCAAGGUCGCUACGCGGGUUCGAAUCCCGCUGAGAGCAUCC
RNAcentral lists this transfer RNA (77 nucleotides) under Virus Rctr197k. RNAcentral describes it as "tRNA-Glu". It matches the Rfam family "tRNA". From Rfam's summary of the family: Transfer RNA (tRNA) molecules are approximately 80 nucleotides in length. Their secondary structure includes four short double-helical elements and three loops (D, anti-codon, and T loops). Lineage: Duplodnaviria; Heunggongvirae; Uroviricota; Caudoviricetes. The record is from RNAcentral.